This 253-nucleotide ribosomal RNA is filed under the name uncultured bacterium. RNAcentral's name for it is "partial 16S ribosomal RNA". It matches the Rfam family "Bacterial small subunit ribosomal RNA", at positions 524 to 776 of the family's 1533-position model. The record is from RNAcentral.
UACGUAGGUGGCAAGCGUUGUCCGGAAUUAUUGGGCGUAAAGCGCGCGCAGGCGGUCCUUUAAGUCUGAUGUGAAAGCCCACGGCUCAACCGUGGAGGGUCAUUGGAAACUGGGGGACUUGAGUGCAGAAGAGGAGAGCGGAAUUCCACGUGUAGCGGUGAAAUGCGUAGAGAUGUGGAGGAACACCAGUGGCGAAGGCGGCUUUCUGGUCUGUAACUGACGCUGAGGCGCGAAAGCGUGGGGAGCAAACAGG